RNAcentral lists this ribosomal RNA (448 nucleotides) under uncultured bacterium. RNAcentral's name for it is "bacterial SSU rRNA". It matches the Rfam family "Bacterial small subunit ribosomal RNA", at positions 329 to 794 of the family's 1533-position model. The record is from RNAcentral.
GUCCAGACUCCUACGGGAGGCAGCAGUGGGGAAUAUUGCACAAUGGGGGAAACCCUGAUGCAGCGACGCCGCGUGAAGGAAGAAGUAUUUCGGUAUGUAAACUUCUCUCAGCAGGGAAGAAAAUGACGGUACCUGACUAAGAAGCCCCGGCUAACUACGUGCCAGCAGCCGCGGUAAUACGUAGGGGGCAAGCGUUAUCCGGAAUUACUGGGUGUAAAGGGAGCGCAGACGGCAGUGCAAGUCUGGAGUGAAAGCCCGUGGCUUAACUACGGGACUGCUCUGGAAACUGUGCAGCUAGAGUGCAGGAGAGGCAGGCGGAAUUCCUAGUGUAGCGGUGAAAUGCGUAGAUAUUAGGAGGAACACCGGUGGCGAAGGCGGCCUGCUGGACUGUAACUGACGUUGAGGCUCGAAAGCGUGGGGAGCAAACAGGAUUAGAUACCCGCGUAAC